UACAGAGGGUGCGAGCGUUAAUCGGAAUUACUGGGCGUAAAGGGUGCGUAGGUGGUUUAGUAAGUUAGAUGUGAAAUUCCUGGGCUUAACCUGGGGACUGCGUCUGAUACUGCGAAGCUAGAGUACUGUAGAGGAAAGUGGAAUUUCCGGUGUAGCAGUGAAAUGCGUAGAUAUCGGAAGGAACAUCAGUGGCGAAGGCGACUUUCUGGACAGAUACUGACACUGAGGCACGAAAGCGUGGGGAGCAAACAGG
RNAcentral lists this ribosomal RNA (253 nucleotides) under uncultured bacterium. RNAcentral's name for it is "partial 16S ribosomal RNA". It matches the Rfam family "Bacterial small subunit ribosomal RNA", at positions 524 to 776 of the family's 1533-position model. The record is from RNAcentral.